CGGUUAAGUUAGAAAGGGCGCACGGUGGAUGCCUUGGCACUAGGAGCCGAUGAAGGACGGGACGAACACCGAUAUGCUUCGGGGAGCUGUAAGCAAGCUUUGAUCCGGAGAUUUCCGAAUGGGGAAACCCACCACUCGUAAUGGAGUGGUAUCCAUAUCUGAAUACAUAGGAUAUGAGAAGGCAGACCCGGGGAACUGAAACAUCUAAGUACCCGGAGGAAGAGAAAGCAAAUGCGAUUCCCUGAGUAGCGGCGAGCGAAACGGGACCAGCCCAAACCAAGAGGCUUGCCUCUUGGGGUUGUAGGACACUCUGUACGGAGUUACAAAGGAACGAGGUAGAUGAAGAGGUCUGGAAAGGCCCGCCAUAGGAGGUAACAGCCCUGUAGUCAAAACUUCGUUCUCUCCUGAGUGGAUCCUGAGUACGGCGGAACACGUGAAAUUCCGUCGGAAUCCGGGAGGACCAUCUCCCAAGGCUAAAUACUCCCUAGUGACCGAUAGUGAACCAGUACCGUGAGGGAAAGGUGAAAAGCACCCCGGAAGGGGAGUGAAAGAGAUCCUGAAACCGUGUGCCUACAAGUAGUCAGAGCCCGUUAACGGGUGAUGGCGUGCCUUUUGUAGAAUGAACCGGCGAGUUACGAUCCCGUGCAAGGUUAAGCAGAAGAUGCGGAGCCGCAGCGAAAGCGAGUCUGAAUAGGGCGAAUUGAGUACGUGGUCGUAGACCCGAAACCAGGUGAUCUACCCAUGUCCAGGGUGAAGUUCAGGUAACACUGAAUGGAGGCCCGAACCCACGCACGUUGAAAAGUGCGGGGAUGAGGUGUGGGUAGGGGUGAAAUGCCAAUCGAACCUGGAGAUAGCUGGUUCUCUCCGAAAUAGCUUUAGGGCUAGCCUCAAGGUAAGAGUCUCGGAGGUAGAGCACUGAUUGGACUAGGGGCCCCUACCGGGUUACCGAAUUCAGUCAAACUCCGAAUGCCGAUGACUUAUCCUUGGGAGUCAGACUGCGAGUGAUAAGAUCCGUAGUCGAAAGGGAAACAGCCCAGACCGCCAGCUAAGGUCCCAAAGUAUACGUUAAGUGGAAAAGGAUGUGGAGUUGCUUAGACAACCAGGAUGUUGGCUUAGAAGCAGCCACCAUUUAAAGAGUGCGUAAUAGCUCACUGGUCGAGUGACUCUGCGCCGAAAAUGUACCGGGGCUAAACGUAUCACCGAAGCUGCGGACUGUUCUUCGAACAGUGGUAGGAGAGCGUUCUAAGGGCUGUGAAGCAAGACCGGAAGGACUUGUGGAGCGCUUAGAAGUGAGAAUGCCGGUAUGAGUAGCGAAAGAGGGGUGAGAAUCCCCUCCACCGAAUGCCUAAGGUUUCCUGAGGAAGGCUCGUCCGCUCAGGGUUAGUCGGGACCUAAGCCGAGGCCGAAAGGCGUAGGCGAUGGACAACAGGUUGAUAUUCCUGUACCACCUCCUCACCAUUUGAGCAAUGGGGGGACGCAGGAGGAUAGGGUAAGCGCGGUAUUGGAUAUCCGCGUCCAAGCAGUUAGGCUGGGAAAUAGGCAAAUCCGUUUCCCGUGAAGGCUGAGCUGUGAUGGCGAGCGAAUUAUAGUAGCGAAGUUCCUGAUUCCACACUGCCAAGAAAAGCCUCUAGCGAGGUGAGAGGUGCCCGUACCGCAAACCGACACAGGUAGGCGAGGAGAGAAUCCUAAGGUGAUCGAGAGAACUCUCGUUAAGGAACUCGGCAAAAUGACCCCGUAACUUCGGGAGAAGGGGUGCUCUGUUAGGGUGCAAGCCCGAGAGAGCCGCAGUGAAUAGGCCCAGGCGACUGUUUAGCAAAAACACAGGUCUCUGCGAAGCCGUAAGGCGAAGUAUAGGGGCUGACGCCUGCCCGGUGCUGGAAGGUUAAGAGGAGCGCUUAGCGUAAGCGAAGGUGCGAAUUGAAGCCCCAGUAAACGGCGGCCGUAACUAUAACGGUCCUAAGGUAGCGAAAUUCCUUGUCGGGUAAGUUCCGACCCGCACGAAAGGCGCAACGAUCUGGGCACUGUCUCAACGAGAGACUCGGUGAAAUUAUAGUACCUGUGAAGAUGCAGGUUACCCGCGACAGGACGGAAAGACCCCGUGGAGCUUUACUGCAGCCUGAUAUUGAAUGUUGGUACAGCUUGUACAGGAUAGGUAGGAGCCUUGGAAACCGGAGCGCCAGCUUCGGUGGAGGCAUCGGUGGGAUACUACCCUGGCUGUAUUGACCUUCUAACCCGCCGCCCUUAUCGGGCGGGGAGACAGUGUCAGGUGGGCAGUUUGACUGGGGCGGUCGCCUCCUAAAAGGUAACGGAGGCGCCCAAAGGUUCCCUCAGAAUGGUUGGAAAUCAUUCGCAGAGUGUAAAGGCACAAGGGAGCUUGACUGCGAGACCUACAAGUCGAGCAGGGACGAAAGUCGGGCUUAGUGAUCCGGUGGUUCCGCAUGGAAGGGCCAUCGCUCAACGGAUAAAAGCUACCCCGGGGAUAACAGGCUUAUCUCCCCAAGAGUCCACAUCGACGGGGAGGUUUGGCACCUCGAUGUCGGCUCAUCGCAUCCUGGGGCUGUAGUCGGUCCCAAGGGUUGGGCUGUUCGCCCAUUAAAGCGGUACGCGAGCUGGGUUCAGAACGUCGUGAGACAGUUCGGUCCCUAUCCGUCGCGGGCGCAGGAAAUUUGAGAGGAGCUGUCCUUAGUACGAGAGGACCGGGAUGGACGCACCGCUGGUGUACCAGUUGUUCUGCCAAGGGCAUCGCUGGGUAGCUAUGUGCGGACGGGAUAAGUGCUGAAAGCAUCUAAGCAUGAAGCCCCCCUCAAGAUGAGAUUUCCCAUUCCGCAAGGAAGUAAGAUCCCUGAAAGAUGAUCAGGUUGAUAGGUCUGAGGUGGAAGUGUGGCGACACAUGGAGCUGACAGAUACUAAUCGAUCGAGGACUUAACCAA
RNAcentral lists this ribosomal RNA (2930 nucleotides) under Bacillus velezensis AS43.3. RNAcentral describes it as "bacterial LSU rRNA". It matches the Rfam family "Bacterial large subunit ribosomal RNA". The record is from RNAcentral. Lineage: Bacteria; Bacillati; Bacillota; Bacilli; Caryophanales; Bacillaceae.